RNAcentral lists this transfer RNA (66 nucleotides) under Cantharis pellucida. RNAcentral's name for it is "tRNA-Pro". Lineage: Eukaryota; Metazoa; Arthropoda; Insecta; Coleoptera; Cantharidae. The record is from RNAcentral.
CAAAGAAUAGUUUAAUAAAAAUAUUAAUUUUGGAGAUUAAAGAUAUUAAGAUUUUAAUUUCUUUGA